This 490-nucleotide ribosomal RNA is filed under the name uncultured bacterium. Its description in RNAcentral is "partial 16S ribosomal RNA". It matches the Rfam family "Bacterial small subunit ribosomal RNA", at positions 28 to 507 of the family's 1533-position model. The record is from RNAcentral.
GAUGAACGCUAGCGAUAGGCUUAACACAUGCAAGUCGAGGGGCAGCAUGGUCUUAGCUUGCUAAGACUGAUGGCGACCGGCGCACGGGUGCGUAACGCGUAUGCAACUUGCCUCACAGAGGGGGAUAACCCGUCGAAAGACGGACUAAUACCGCGUACACUCCAUCUUGGGCAUCCAAGGUAGAGGAAAUGAAAUUCGCUGUGAGAUAGGCAUGCGUCCCAUUAGCUAGUUGGUGAGGUAACGGCUCACCAAGGCGACGAUGGGUAGGGGAACUGAGAGGUUGAACCCCCACACUGGUACUGAGACACGGACCAGACUCCUACGGGUGGCAGCAGUGAGGAAUAUUGGUCAAUGGGCGAGAGCCUGAACCAGCCAAGUCGCGUGAAGGAUGACUGUCUUAUGGAUUGUAAACUUCUUUUAUACGGGAAUAACAAGAGUCACGGGUGACUCCCUGCAUGUACCGUAUGAAUAAGCAUCGGCUAACUCCGUG